Molecule: long non-coding RNA, 375 nt
Filed under: Panax ginseng (ginseng)
Lineage: Eukaryota; Viridiplantae; Streptophyta; Magnoliopsida; Apiales; Araliaceae
Description: long non-coding RNA (PGIN_LNC007572)
Source: RNAcentral
CGGAAUAUCCGAGCCAAUGACCUUGUUAAGGUGAAAUGGCUCGGAAUAAAUUCUUCCUCCUUGCGGUGUUGUCCUUCCUUUCAGAAUAUCCGAGCCAAGGACCUUGUUAAGGUGAAAUGGCUCGCAAUAAAUUCUUCCUCCUUGCGGUGUUGUCCUUUCUUUCAGAAUAUCCGAGCCAAGGACCUUGUUAAGGUGAAAUGGCUCGGAAUAAAUUCUUCCUCCUUACGGUGUUGUCCUUUCUUUCAGAAUAUCAGAGCCAAGGACCUUAUUAAGGUGAAAUGGCUCGGAAUAAAUUCUUCCUCCUUGCUGUGUUUCCCUUCCUGUCAGAAUAUCCGAGCCAAGAUCCUUGUUAAGGUGAAAUGGCUCGGAAUAAAU